UUGUCUUGUAAUUGGAAUGAUGGUGACCUAAACCCUCACCAGAGUAACAAUUGGAGGGCAAGUCUGGUGCCAGCAGCCGCGGUAAUUCCAGCUCCAAUAGCGUAUAUUAAACUUGUUGCAGUUAAAAAGCUCGUAGUUGAAUUUCUGCGUCACCGUAUUUUGACUUUUGUCGACUGUCGGUUUCGCUUUUGGGAUUUAUCCCUUUUUACUUUGAGAAAAUUAGAGUGUUUCAAGCAGACUUUUGUCUUGAAUACUUCAGCAUGGAAUAAUAGAGUAGGACUUUGGUUCUAUUUUGUUGGUUUGUGAACCUUAGUAAUGGUUAAUAGGAACGGUUGGGGGCAUUCGUAUUUAACUGUCAGAGGUGAAAUUCUUAGAUUUGUUAAAGACGAACUACUGCGAAAGCAUUUGCCAAGGACGUUUUCAUUAAUCAAGAACGAAAGUUAGGGGAUCGAAGACGAUCAGAUACCGUCGUAGUCCUAA
Molecule: ribosomal RNA, 480 nt
Filed under: Babesia odocoilei
Lineage: Eukaryota; Apicomplexa; Aconoidasida; Piroplasmida; Babesiidae
Description: SSU rRNA
Rfam family: Eukaryotic small subunit ribosomal RNA
Source: RNAcentral